Molecule: ribosomal RNA, 593 nt
Filed under: uncultured Meliniomyces
Lineage: Eukaryota; Fungi; Ascomycota; Leotiomycetes; Helotiales; Helotiaceae
Description: eukaryotic LSU rRNA
Rfam family: 5.8S ribosomal RNA (bases 235-388)
Source: RNAcentral
CUUGGUCAUUUAGAGGAAGUAAAAGUCGUAACAAGGUUUCCGUAGGUGAACCUGCGGAAGGAUCAUUAAAGAAUUGCCCUGUUUUUUCGAAAGCAGGUCCUAUUUCUAAACCGUGUUUACAUACCUUUGUUGCUUUGGCGGGCCGCCGUCUCGGCGUUGGCUCCGGCUGACUGUGCCCGCCAGAGGACCCAAACUCGUUUGUCUAGUGAUGUCUGAGUACUAUAUAAUAGUUAAAACUUUCAACAGCGGAUCUCUUGGUUCUGGCAUCGAUGAAGAACGCAGCGAAAUGCGAUAAGUAAUGUGAAUUGCAGAAUUCAGUGAAUCAUCGAAUCUUUGAACGCACAUUGCGCCCCUUGGUAUUCCGAGGGGCAUGCCUGUUCGAGCGUCAUUAUAACCACUCAAGCCUUGGCUUGGUCUUGGGGUUCGCGGUCUCGCGGCCCUUAAAACUAGUGGCGGUGCCAUCUGGCUCUAAGCGUAGUAAUUCUCUCGCUACAGAGUCCGGGUGGUGACUUGCCAAAACCCCUAACUCUUAUGGUUGACCUCGGAUCAGGUAGGGAUACCCGCUGAACUUAAGCAUAUCAAUAAGCGGAGGA